CCUACGGGAGGCAGCAGUGGGGGAUAUUGGACAAUGGGGGGAACCCUGAUCCAGCGACGCCGCGUGAGUGAAGAAGUAUCUCGGUAUGUAAAGCUCUAUCAGCAGGGAAGAAGAAAUGACGGUACCUGAGUAAGAAGCCCCGGCUAACUACGUGCCAGCAGCCGCGGUAAUACGUAGGGGGCAAGCGUUAUCCGGAAUUACUGGGGGUAAAGGGAGCGUAGACGGUGAUGUAAGUCUGGAGUGAAAGGCGGGGGCCCAACCCCCGGACUGCUCUGGAAACUAUGUGACUGGAGUGCAGGAGAGGUGAGCGGAAUUCCUAGUGGAGCGGGGAAAUGCGUAGAUAUUAGGAGGAACACCAGUGGCGAAGGCGGCUAACUGGACUGAAACUGACGUUGAGGCUCGAAAGCGUGGGGAGCAAACAGGAUGAGAUACCCUUGUAGUC
Molecule: ribosomal RNA, 442 nt
Filed under: uncultured bacterium
Lineage: Bacteria
Description: partial 16S ribosomal RNA
Rfam family: Bacterial small subunit ribosomal RNA
Source: RNAcentral